Long non-coding RNA from Strigops habroptila (Kakapo), 4018 nucleotides. The record is from Ensembl. NCBI's taxonomy places the organism in Eukaryota, Metazoa, Chordata, Aves, Psittaciformes, Psittacidae.
UUCAUAGCACUUUUCAAAGUUUAUUAUUUGGUGCAUUAUGCAGAAGAAAAGGGAAAAAACCUGGGCAUAGCACUGGGUGGAACACCUAUGUGCAGAGAAUAUCCUUAUGUGGAGAUGGAAAAGCUUGAAUUCACUGAAAGAAGCCCAGUUUGAAUCAUGCUGUCAGGAGCACCCAGUCAGCAUGCUUCUUCCAAGGGCUAGGAACCAGGGCUGUCCUACUACCGCAGCUGGGGGCAGCCCAAGCCCCAGGCAUCAAGCACCUUCCUGGGAUCAGGCUGAGGCAGGGUUGGGACAGCUGCCCACGGGUGGGGUCAGGCUCUGGAUCAAUGGGGCCAUGGCUGGGCAGCGCAGGCUGUCCCAGGGGAAGGACACUAAGCCCCACCAGCAGCGCUGUCUGGAGGAGCUCUCCCCAAGACCACCAGCAGCAUCAGCUCAUUGUGGUCCCUGAGCCCAGGAAGACAAAUCCCCAGGGUGGGGAGGAGGGAUGUGCUUAGGGAUCUGACAUAUUAACAUGGAGUAACACAUUCUCCAUUCAUGGUAACUUAAUUUUUUCUAUGGUAAGAAUGACCAAAUAUUUUAUCUUGGCAUUUACAAAGUGGACACAGUGACAAAUUUAGACAAUGUUCAUUGGUCUCUGCCAUUGUGGUGAGCCUUUAAUUUUUAAGUCAAGUUGUAUGCUAAAAUAGCACAUCCUCAGCACUCAGGUCAGCUGUACUGAAAAAAACUUCUUGGUCCCAGAGGUGAAGCCACCUCUUUCUGUUAGACUCUCCUCUUCGUUUUGAAAAACACACCCUUCAUAGAGUUUAAAGGAGGAAAAAAACCCUAGAUAGCUGAACUAGUCUCACCACAGAUGGACUUCCUGAAAGAUGUCUGUUGCUGAUGUCAGUGGCCAAAAAUGCAGGGCUGGCUGUUCAGGUGGGGAGUACAGGACAGGGUGCUGGGUAGGGCACCAGCAAUACAUGUGUUCCCAUUGUAGCUCUGGAUUUUCUGGGAGCUGUUCAGCAGGUCGCUUGGCCUUCUUUCCAUUUAUAUUUUUCAUGUUGCUAGUAUUGGCUGGUUAACAGGCUAAUCCUCAUACUGUUGUUUGAAAUCAUGUAUUUAUUGUCAUUGCCAGUUGUUAUAGACAAUUCACUGAAUUAUUUUUGUAAUAGCUUUUUCCUUUGAUCAGUCACACUAUCUAAUUAGAAAUGAAUUAAAACAGAUGCCUUUCACUUGUAUCUGUGCAAUAAGCCUGAAUUCAUAAAUAUUAUUUUAUGGGUAAUGAUCAUCCUUAGUAAUAUAGUAGCUGACUAGGCUGAAAUGCUGAAAGACAUCAUAGUCCAAAUAGAAAUGUGGGUUAAUAUGCUCAUUAACAGGCAAUGUUUAAAAACAUUACUUGCUUGAAAUGAAGACAGCUUCCUGCCUAGGAAUGAAGCUGGACAACACAUCCUUUUAGUUGGGAAAUUUCAGGUUAAAGUUGUUAUAAAAACUAGCUAAAAAAAACCCCUUGGCUAUUACAAAAAACAGAAUUAAAACUUCCUAAUGUUUUACUUUUAUGUGAUUUUCACUCUGUUUGUAAAAUAAAGCCACUAGGACAUCUAUGGUAACUAGAGAAGUUUCAGAGAGCAGCCUGUACCAGAUUUUGGGUUAUGUACACAGAUGCUGCAAGGAUUUCCUUUAGCAUUACCUAACAAUCUAUUUGUCUACAUCAAGAGCCAUGAAGAUUUUAAGACACAUGUAAGUUUAGCAUAGCUCACCUUUGAAUACAUAAGCAAAUAAAUGAACAUGUCAUGUAAGGAGACAUCUUACUAUUUUUAAAGAAAUGUAGACAAUAUAGUUUCACAGAAGGCUGUCACCAGAAUAUUGGUAUUUCCCUGAUUCUGGUUGGGCCAGAAAUAAACUAUUUGAAAACUUUUUUCAACUGGUGUCCUGAAAAAACUUCAGAGGAGCAGAAAAGAAAUGACAGCAAGGAUGUUCAUAGUACUCACUGAUGACAUAAAUUUCUUUGAAUGACACACUUAAGCUCCACAUCCCUUGGUUCUCAGGAGGCUUUUGUGGAAUCCUAUCAUUCAAGGUGGCUUUGCAAUGCACCAAAUUGACUAUCACUACUGGACGCUGUAAACUUACCAUCAAAAGCAAUUUUUCAAGUGAAUUCUACAUGUAAAUGCUUGAUGAGCAUUUGACAGUGCCUGCUGGGUUAAUAAAUACAGCAUGCUGUGUAAUUGAUAGCUGUGAAUUGUCUCAAGGGAGAAAUAGGGUUGUCCCUACCUCCCCAUUGCCAAUUAUAACUUGUGCGUUUAAGUAACUCUGGCAUUUUUUGCAUUAAUUAGAAAGCAUGUGAGGUGAAAAUGGAGUUGUCACAUUGUUUUCAGUGGAUAUGUUUUGCUCACAAGUUGGGCAAAAGAGUCAAAGAGUAGAGACUGUGGAAAUCUUGUUUUCUGAGCAGCAAGAACUAUAGGUGGUUAGAGGAAAGCCAGUCAGAAUGUGGAGUUCUGGCUUUUAACUCUUGUAUUUUGCAUCAUCCUGUAAAAGUCAUAUCACUACUUUUUGCAAUAGGACCCUGAUGUGAAUAAGAAAAUGUGCUAGUAUUUUUCUAAGGCCAUAUAUUUCAUGAUUUAUUUUUUAUUUCAGUUUCCCAUCAGCGAAAUAGAGAGAAAUAGUUAGUUACAAAACAAAUAAAGCUUAGUUCAGAGGUUCUAUUAAAUGUCAAAUUCAGCAGCUCUGUUAAUAUGGACUCUAAGUUUUCAUAAUAUGCCUCAGAUUAUACGUUCAGAUGAAGAGGUGUAAUUGCAUUGUCACUGAAUUAGAGCAGCAUGAUGUCUAUCAGACAGUAUAAAGUAUGUUGCCAAGAAAAAGAAAUUUAUAGUGGGAAAAACUGGGCAGGAGUUCUAUGUUGGGUCCCUGCAUUUUCACUGUCUGCACUUCGGGAUGUAGAUAGCUUUAAACACCUCCUUGUCCUACAGAAUCCUCUGGGAAUGCUGGCAGAAAUCCAUGUCUUAGUCAAUACUGAAAUUAAACUGAUGGUUACCAUCACCUCUCAUGAAAGCUGCAGACUUUCCAUUGCCAUCAAAACCACAUUGGAAACAUAAUUUUUUUCAUAAAAUAUCUAGACUUUUAUAGUCCUGGUCAGCCAUUAAAUGAAUUGCUAAUCUCUGAAGACAUUAGACUUGAUUCAUCCUUCUAUAAAUUCUUUUUUUACCAUUCUGACUGCUGUGGAGGGAGCUAAAAUUAAGCACAAGUUGGAGUUGCACCUUUUAAGAUCACUUUAUGUGUCCAGGACAGAGUGAGUCCUAGCACAAAUGAGGUGCAACUUUUUUACCUCCAUGGGGAAUAAAACUGAAAUCAGUGGAAUCAGUGGACAGAGUCUAAUCAUCUUCAGCAAUAGCUAUAUCAGCACCUAUGUGUCCACUGAGAGAGUAGAAGGGGAAACAAACACACUCUUUCAGUUUGUUGGGGUUUUUUAUAAAUGUGGGGGUUAGGUGCUUUGAACUAAGGCCUGGCUUCCUUUGGAGUGAAGGUUGGGUCUUGUGACUUUACAAAGUUCCAGCUUUUUCCACGUCAGAGUGUCUUAAGUUUUUUCUUAACUCCCUACUCCUGGCACCCAACACCAGUAUUAUGCAACCUGGGACAAGGGGACACUGGGUCCCUUUGGAGGUUGAGUCAUACUCAAAGAUGAAAUAUAAAACUAAACCUCACAAUUUUGAUCAUUAGAAAAUCCAAGUUGUAUUUAUCUUGCAAAAGUAGAUGUAGUAACCUGGCUGAGUCCAGUUCAAACACAGACAAUUGCAUUUGGUGUACCAAAAAUCUUCUCUGUGUAUUUGGCAGCCUUUUUCAUUUCUUGAGCCUGAAAAUGAUUGUUUGGGAUGACUUUGACUGCUGGGAAGGAAGAAAUUCUCAGUACGGUGUGUGUUGUGUGGAAGGUGAUAGUAGCAUACAGAGAGAUAAUCGCUACAUUUAUAAUUGACAAGAUGUGAAUUAAUUUUACUGGCAAUUAGUAUGGCUGGUAAAGCAUUCUUACACGAGGUUGAAACCUCCCUUG